UACGUAGGGUGCGAGCGUUGUCCGGAAUUACUGGGCGUAAAGCGUGCGCAGGCGGUUCGUUAUGUCCGAUGUGAAAGCCCCGAGCUCAACUUGGGAAUGGCAUUGGAAACUGGCGGGCUGGAGUGUGGCAGAGGGGGGUGGAAUUCCACGUGUAGCAGUGAAAUGCGUAGAGAUGUGGAGGAACACCGAUGGCGAAGGCAGCCCCCUGGGCCAACACUGACGCUCAGGCACGAAAGCGUGGGGAGCAAACAGG
RNAcentral lists this ribosomal RNA (253 nucleotides) under uncultured bacterium. RNAcentral's name for it is "partial 16S ribosomal RNA". It matches the Rfam family "Bacterial small subunit ribosomal RNA", at positions 524 to 776 of the family's 1533-position model. The record is from RNAcentral.